UCCAAUUAAGUUAUUUACAUUCUUAUAACAUUCUAUUAAUAGGAAUUACCGAAUACAUAUGACUGCCAUUAAUACUUAUAGUACUUUUAAAAAUAAAAUUUACUAAACGUUUAACUGAUUUUCUUUAUAACUAAUUAUUUUUACAGUACAAGAAAUUAUUUUUAAAAGAUACAAUUUUACCAAAUUGGCCCUUGUAGCAAUCAUCAACCAAUGACAAUCGGUCAUGUCAUGCUCGGUACUAACUACUAAGUGAAUUAAAUGGGCAAUUUAGCUUAGCUACGUACAACUUGGCUUGACCAUGAUGGCAUAGCCAUCUUCAUGUCAUGGCCAAUCUUUGUUAAAUUGUCAAUUGGUGCAAGCGGUUUUGGCUCCAUAUACUUGCUCGUCUAAAAUCUCAUGCUUAAUUAACUAGACAUCCACCACCAUGAGGUCACAACUAUUUAAAAAAAAAUUAUUUGCUUUAACAAUCUAUUUUCUUAUUUUUCCUCUUUUUUUUUUUGGUUAUCAUCAAAAAACGAAAAUGAUUAGAAGAAAGAAUAGAAAACAAAAAUCUCCAAUAAAGUGCCAGCUGUGAAAAUAACUUAAUAAUAGUAAACUACUUACAUGUCACCUCUGAAAAUUUUUACUUAGUUAGUCUAAAUUUCACUUUGUUUAUUUGUAAUAUUUGGUUAAAAGACACUCAUUUGCGUCCCUUCAACGAAGCCUACUGCUUGUAUCCUUUCUUUUUCUUAUCUUUGGUAGGGUCCCAAAUCCCUUCAAUAAGAUUGAUGCUUGCUCAUUUGGCUAAGUGUAAGGGGACAUACUCAUCAUGAUUAAUUGAAUCUCCCUUAUAAAUAAAAAGCAGAAACUAGUUUUCAAAGUGUUUCACUAAAUCAUCAUGACUGGCCCUAAACACCGUCCACGUACAUAAUUUUGAUGAGAUCACAUAUACGAUUUUUUGGGCUCCGCACACUUUAACUAGUGAACACAUUAACUACAAUGUUUAGAUUCAACCAUGCCAUUUUAAUCACAGUUGUCACAAGAAACCAUCAUAUUCUACUGUCAAAUCCAAAAUAUAUAUAAAUCAUUUUAAGGCCACAAAAGGGUCGCUUAGAGUAAUGGUUUGAUCAAUUAAGAAUCUUGGAAAAGGAAAAGACAACUUUUACAGAUCCCCAGUUUUGCGUUGGAGAUGAAAAGAAAAUGUAAUAGCUUACUACAAAAAGGAAAGGACGUGACAUUAUUAUAUUUCCAUGGGUUUUUAUUAAAUGAUUUUAAGAAUAUUCUUUUAAGGGACAGAGCAAAUCUUUUACAAAUCCCUAACCUUAUGUGUUGAAGAUCUUGCAGAAAUGAUUCCAACCAACUUGCCGCUCGUCCAUUGUUGCAGUCUAUUCUUUCUAUAACUAUUGAUUAAUAUAGGGGUGGGCAAGAAAGAAAAAAAGAUGAUUAAUGAUUAUAUUAACUUUGUUACAUAAAAAUAUCAUCUUAGAUUCCAAAAAUGCCAGCCAAAAUUGUUUGGAAAAGAGAUGUACAUGGUCCUAGCUAGUUGUGUGACACAGUGUGCCAAAUUACUUUACAAGAUUUGGGAAUAUUUUAUCUAUCAACAGAUGUGUAUUGCCAUUAAACCAAACUUUUAAAAAAAAUUCAUGCAUGAGAGCCUAGCUAGGACCAUGUAUAAUGUUUUUAUAAUCUUUAUCUAUUGGAUUCUCAUAGAUCAUAUAUAUUACUUUCUAAUCAUUGAUUAAAAUGUAACGUGUUAAGAGUGUCAAGAAUUCAAUGCAUAGUAGUAUACAUUGAGAAUACUCAUCUAUACACAAAAUAUAUGUAUAAUUGUAUAGUACUAAAUGAAUUUAAAUAUUUUUAUAACCUGAUCUUUUCCUAAACAGAUGUGAUUUUUCUUAUGAAGUAUAUUACUAUAUUUUGUGAGAGAAAAAAAAAGACAUAAUAAAUCAAUAUUUUUUUUUCCUUGUGAGGUAUUAGCAUCAACUAUUCAAAAUUAUAUUAAACGAGCGAGACUAGAUGCCUCUUCAAACCCCUUCUCUUUAAUAACCUCAAUAAAAAUAUUUCAAAAUGGUUACCUUUGAUGGUGAUUUUGUUAUCGUCAAACCCUAUGGUUUCUUUAAUUUCCUUUUGUUCAUAAAUUUUUUUAUCUUUUUCAUUUUUCAAUAAAAAACUUUCAU
RNAcentral lists this long non-coding RNA (2156 nucleotides) under Citrus x clementina. Its description in RNAcentral is "Citrus clementina (C. clementina) long non-coding RNA (CCLE_LNC002899)". Lineage: Eukaryota; Viridiplantae; Streptophyta; Magnoliopsida; Sapindales; Rutaceae. The record is from RNAcentral.